RNAcentral lists this ribosomal RNA (406 nucleotides) under uncultured bacterium. Its description in RNAcentral is "partial 16S ribosomal RNA". It matches the Rfam family "Bacterial small subunit ribosomal RNA", at positions 29 to 526 of the family's 1533-position model. The record is from RNAcentral.
AUUGAACGCUGGCGGCAGGCCUAACACAUGCAAGUCGAGCGAGCGGCGGACGGGUGAGUAAUGUCUGGGAAACUGCCUGACGGAGGGGGAUAACUACUGGAAACGGUAGCUAAUACCGCAUACCAUCAGAUGUGCCCAGAUGUGAUUAGCGAGUAGGUGGGGUAACGGCUAACCAUGGCGACGAACCCUAGCUGAGCUGAGGGGAUGACCAGCCACACUGGAACGGAGACACGGUCCGAACUCCUACGGAGGGCAUCAGUGGGGAAUAUGGAACAGUGGGAGAAGACCGGAUGCAGCCAUGCCGCGUAUGUGAAGAAGGCCUUCGAGUUGUAAAGCACUUUCAGCAGGGAGGCGUUACCCGAAGAAAAAGGACCGGCUAACUCCGUGCCAGCAGCCGCGGUAAUAC